GUUUGGAAGGGAUAAGCGCUGAAAGCAUAUAAGCGCGAAACCCACCACAAGAUGAGAUUUCUUUAAAGGAUCCCCAAAGACGAUGGGGUUGAUAGGUCACAGGUGUAAAGGCAGUAAUGUCAUAGCCAAGUGAUACUAAUUAUCCGAAGAGCUUAUCUAU
RNAcentral lists this ribosomal RNA (160 nucleotides) under Psychroflexus sediminis. RNAcentral describes it as "Bacterial large subunit ribosomal RNA". It matches the Rfam family "Bacterial large subunit ribosomal RNA", at positions 2753 to 2925 of the family's 2925-position model. The record is from Rfam by way of RNAcentral. Lineage: Bacteria; Pseudomonadati; Bacteroidota; Flavobacteriia; Flavobacteriales; Flavobacteriaceae.